GGUCAGUAAAGCUCUGUUGUUAGGGAAGAACAAGUACCGGAGUAAACUGCCGGUACCUUGACGGUACCUAAACCAGAAAGCCACGGCUAACUACGUGCCAGCAGCCGCGGUAAUACGUAGGUGGCAAGCGUUGUCCGGAAUUAUUUGGGCGUAAAGCGCGCGCAGGCGGUCCUUUAAGUCUGAUGUGAAAGCCCACGGCUCAAACCGUGGAGGGUCAUUGGAAACUGGGGGACUUGAGUGCAGAAGAGGAAAGCGGAAUUCCACGUGUAGCGGUGAAAUGCGUAGAGAUGUGGAGGAACACCAGUNGGCGAAGGCGGCUUUCUGGUCUGUAACUGACGCUGAGGCGCGAAAGCGUGGGGAGCAAACAGGNAUUAGAUACCCUGGUAGUCCACGCCGUAAACGAUGAGUGCUAAGUGUUAGGGGGUUUCCGCCCCUUAGUGCUGCAGCUAACGCAUUAAGCACUCCGCCUGGGGAGUACGGUCGCAAGACUGAAACUCAAAGGAAUUGACGGGGGCCCGCACAAGCGGUGGAGCAUGUGGUUUAAUUCGAAGCAACGCGAAGAACCUUACCAGGUCUUGACAUCCUCUGACAAUCCUAGAGAUAGGACGUNCCCCUUCGGGGGNCAGAGUGACAGGUGGUGCAUNGGUUGUNCGUNCANGCUCGUGUCGUGAGANUGUUGGGUUAAGUCCCGCAACGAGCGCAACCCUUGAUCUUAGUUGCCAGCAUUCAGUUGGGCACUCUAAGGUGACUGCCGGUGACAAACCGGAGGAAGGUGGGGAUGACGUCAAAUCAUCAUGCCCCUUAUGACCUGGGCUACACACGUGCUACAAUGGACAGAACAAGGGCAGCGAAACCGCGAGGUUAAGCCAAUCCCACAAAUCUGUUCUCAUUUCGGAUCGCAGUCUGCAACUCGACUGCGUGAAAGCUGGAAUCGCUA
RNAcentral lists this ribosomal RNA (937 nucleotides) under uncultured Bacillus sp. Its description in RNAcentral is "bacterial SSU rRNA". It matches the Rfam family "Bacterial small subunit ribosomal RNA", at positions 420 to 1337 of the family's 1533-position model. The record is from RNAcentral. Lineage: Bacteria; Bacillati; Bacillota; Bacilli; Caryophanales; Bacillaceae.